This 580-nucleotide long non-coding RNA is filed under the name Lupinus angustifolius (narrow-leaved blue lupine). RNAcentral describes it as "long non-coding RNA (LANG_LNC002720)". Lineage: Eukaryota; Viridiplantae; Streptophyta; Magnoliopsida; Fabales; Fabaceae. The record is from RNAcentral.
CCUAGCUUUGUUGGGAAGAAGAUCGGGCACCGAACCUGUUGAUAUCCUAAAACCUCAACUGCAGGAUUUAUGGAGCUGAUCUUUGAGCAAUUCUGGUGUUUAUUCAGUGAAAUCAAGAUGUUUGGCUUUACAUACUUUUUUGGCAGGCAAUUCAUCUAUUUCUUUGGAUCUUGAACAUAUUUUGAAAUUUGUGGAAACUUUUAUACCUUCAAAAAUAGCUUUUUGCAUGGCAAAUUUUAUGAUUGAUGUCAAUUACCUUUUUUUUACCUCUCAACUUGAAGAAGACACUAAUCACCUUUUUAUUUGUUGUCUCUUUUCUUUAACAGUUUGACGAAAACUUUUGAGCUAGUUGAAUGUUUCUUCCGUGUUGCAUGGUUGUUGUUGGUAACUUCUUUUCUGUCAUUUAGAAUUUUGUUUAAGGGUCAAAAGCAGAAAAGAAUAGGAAUAUUAUUAUAGUAUGUUAUGGUUGCUUAGAAAUGACAUCGUUUUUAAUAAUCAGCCCUAUGAUAUUAUUAUAGUAUGUUAUGUUUGUUUGUUUCUUACGUCAACAAGAGCACAAAACCAAUAUAACAAAGCUGGG